This 425-nucleotide ribosomal RNA is filed under the name uncultured bacterium. RNAcentral describes it as "partial 16S ribosomal RNA". It matches the Rfam family "Bacterial small subunit ribosomal RNA", at positions 354 to 796 of the family's 1533-position model. The record is from RNAcentral.
GUGGGGAAUAUUGGACAAUGGGCGCAAGCCUGAUCCAGCAAUGCCGCGUGGGUGAAGAAGGUCUUCGGAUCGUAAAGCCCUUUCGACAGGGACGAUGAUGACGGUACCUGUAGAAGAAGCCCCGGCUAACUUCGUGCCAGCAGCCGCGGUAAUACGAAGGGGGCUAGCGUUACUCGGAAUUACUGGGCGUAAAGGGCGCGUAGGCGGCUCUGUUAGUCAGGCGUGAAAUUCCUGGGCUUAACCUGGGGACUGCGCUUGAUACUGCAGGGCUUGAGGGCGAGAGAGGGUGGUAGAAUUCCCAGUGUAGAGGUGAAAUUCGUAGAUAUUGGGAAGAACACCGGUGGCGAAGGCGACCACCUGGCUCGGUUCUGACGCUGAGGCGCGACAGCGUGGGGAGCAAACAGGAUUAGAAACCCUAGUAGUCC